RNAcentral lists this ribosomal RNA (17 nucleotides) under Ceratobasidium sp. 54PC. RNAcentral describes it as "partial 28S ribosomal RNA". Lineage: Eukaryota; Fungi; Basidiomycota; Agaricomycetes; Cantharellales; Ceratobasidiaceae. The record is from RNAcentral. RNAcentral also lists the same sequence under 1 other name.
UGAUCUCAAAUCAGUAG